CCUACGGGUGGCAGCAGUGGGGAAUAUUGGGCAAUGGAGGCAACUCUGACCCAGCAACGCCGCGUGAAUGAUGAAGGUCUUCGGAUUGUAAAGUUCUGUGAUGGGGGAUGAACACAAUGACGGUACCCCAAUAGCAAGCCACGGCUAACUACGUGCCAGCAGCCGCGGUAAUACGUAGGUGGCAAGCUUUAUCCGGAAUGACUGGGCGGAAGGGGUGUGUAGGUGGGUUAGUAAGUUGGCGGUGUAAUUCCGGGGCUCAAGGGCGGAGCUACCGACAAAACUAGUAGACUAGAGUGCAGGUGCGGUAAGUGGAAUUUCGAGUGUAGCGGUAGAAUGCAUAUAUAUU
RNAcentral lists this ribosomal RNA (346 nucleotides) under uncultured bacterium. RNAcentral's name for it is "partial 16S ribosomal RNA". It matches the Rfam family "Bacterial small subunit ribosomal RNA", at positions 338 to 698 of the family's 1533-position model. The record is from RNAcentral.